UGGGGAAUAUUGCACAAUGGGCGAAAGCCUGAUGCAGCGACGCCGCGUGCGGGAUGAAGGCCUUCGGGUUGUAAACCGCUUUUGAUUGGGAGCAAGCGAGAGUGAGUGUACCUUUCGAAUAAGCACCGGCUAACUACGUGCCAGCAGCCGCGGUAAUACGUAGGGUGCAAGCGUUAUCCGGAAUUAUUGGGCGUAAAGAGCUCGUAGGCGGUUUGUCGCGUCUGGUGUGAAAGUCCAUCGCUUAACGGUGGAUCUGCGCCGGGUACGGGCAGGCUAGAGUGCGACAGGGGAGACUGGAAUUCCCGGUGUAACGGUGGAAUGUGUAGAUAUCGGGAAGAACACCAAUGGCGAAGGCAGGUCUCUGGGUC
This 368-nucleotide ribosomal RNA is filed under the name uncultured bacterium. RNAcentral's name for it is "partial 16S ribosomal RNA". It matches the Rfam family "Bacterial small subunit ribosomal RNA", at positions 355 to 735 of the family's 1533-position model. The record is from RNAcentral.